Molecule: ribosomal RNA, 466 nt
Filed under: uncultured bacterium
Lineage: Bacteria
Description: partial 16S ribosomal RNA
Rfam family: Bacterial small subunit ribosomal RNA
Source: RNAcentral
GACGAACGCUGGCGGCGUGCCUAACACAUGCAAGUCGAACGAGCGAGAGAGAGCUUGCUUUCUCGAGCGAGUGGCGAACGGGUGAGUAACGCGUGAGGAACCUGCCUCAAAGAGGGGGACAACAGUUGGAAACGACUGCUAAUACCGCAUAAGCCCACGACCCGGCAUCGGGUAGAGGGAAAAGGAGCAAUCUGCUUUGAGAUGGCCUCGCGUCCGAUUAGCUAGUUGGUGUGGUAACGGCCCGCCAAGUCGACGUUCGGUAGCCGUACUGGGAGGUUGAACGGCCACAUUGGGACUGAGGCACGGCCCAGACUCCUACGGGAGGGAGCAGUGGGGAAUAUUGCACAAUGGGGGAAGACCUGAUGCAGCGACGCCGCGUAGAGGAAGAAGGUCUUCGGAUUGUAAUCUCCUGUUGUUGAGGAAGAUAAUGACGGUACUCAACAAGGAAGUGACGGCUAACUACGUG